CGCUUCUGCCUUGCUCCUCGCUCGGUCGCUCCUGCUUCCACUUCCGCCUCCAUCGGCCAGCUGGGUGUCCAAAGCUCUGCGCGCGCGCGUGCCCAAGAUUCGGCUCCGCCAUUGCUCCCGUCGGGCACCGCCGGCCCUCUUGAAAUCCCCCGCCGGCUUCGCGGGUCGGAGUUUUGAAUCAAUCUGCGGACACCCUUUUGCGCGUGCGCUCUUCCUCCCUCGCUCGCGUCCUCCAUUGUGCUCGCUCUGUGCGAUUGGGUGGGUUCUUUCGUUCGUUGGGGGCUUUCUGCUCUGUUUCUUGCUUGGAAUUUUCCCGGGCUUUCCGAUCUCUUGUGCUGGACUUUGAUUAGAAGGUUUCGAAUAGAGACGGAGCACCGCCAUUGGAUGAUUCAAAAUUUAGGGUUUCUGAUUCUUGCGGCCGGGUGGCGUGGCUUGAUUUGAAGUGGCCGAAUGUGCCGGAACCUGCUUCGCUCGCGAGGUUUUUCUGUCUUUUGUUGAAGAUAUGAGACUUGGUUUUGCUCUGUGUUGUUCCUGGGUUGGUCGAUUCUGUUUUCUUUGGAAACUUAAGUAUCACUUGUGAGUUUGUUAU
This is a long non-coding RNA of Syzygium oleosum, 589 nucleotides long. RefSeq lists it as uncharacterized. The record is from RefSeq and is a predicted model, not a curated record. NCBI's taxonomy places the organism in Eukaryota, Viridiplantae, Streptophyta, Magnoliopsida, Myrtales, Myrtaceae. The transcript is spliced from 2 exons.